UACGUAGGGGGCAAGCGUUAUCCGGAUUUACUGGGUGUAAAGGGAGCGUAGACGGUGAGACAAGUCUGAAGUGAAAGCCCGGGGCUCAACCCCGGGACUGCUUUGGAAACUGCCUGACUGGAGUGCUGGAGAGGCAAGCGGAAUCCCUAGUGUAGCGGUGAAAUGCGUAGAUAUUAGGAAGAACACCAGUGGCGAAGGCGGCUUGCUGGACAGUAACUGACGUUGAGGCUCGAAAGCGUGGGGAGCAAACAGG
Molecule: ribosomal RNA, 253 nt
Filed under: uncultured bacterium
Lineage: Bacteria
Description: partial 16S ribosomal RNA
Rfam family: Bacterial small subunit ribosomal RNA
Source: RNAcentral